Long non-coding RNA from Poecilia reticulata (guppy), 355 nucleotides. RefSeq lists it as uncharacterized. The record is from RefSeq and is a predicted model, not a curated record. Lineage: Eukaryota; Metazoa; Chordata; Actinopteri; Cyprinodontiformes; Poeciliidae.
GCCUGAGAAAACUCAGCUGUGGAGGAAAAGAAGCAAAGAAAAACAAAAACUUAUUAAAGUGUGAAGAAGUAAAGGAAACCAUUCAGGAUGUGAAGAUGCAGAAGCAACUGGUGAGAUACCCAAGAAGAUGCGUUUGACAAAAGAGUAAAGAAUUGGAUGGCUGGAUUGGGAAGCAGUCGCCUGGUUGCACGAAACUUUAACAGAAAACAUGGAACAAGAAUCACACACGACACUGUGGCAAAACUUAUUUGCAAGUUUCAGAAAACUGGAAAUGUUGCAGAUCAACCAUGAAGUGGUUCAAGACGUGCAACGAUUACAGAGUCCCACAAAAUAAAAACGUUUGUCCAAUCUAAAA